Molecule: non-coding RNA, 173 nt
Filed under: Chloroflexota bacterium
Lineage: Bacteria; Bacillati; Chloroflexota
Description: 6S RNA
Rfam family: 6S / SsrS RNA
About the family: E. coli 6S RNA was the first non coding RNA to be sequenced, but its function was unknown until recently. It consists of 184 nucleotides that fold into an extended hairpin structure with a large single-stranded internal bulge.
Source: RNAcentral
UAAACCCUGUGGUAAACUUCGGUCGUAAAUAGGUUUUGAUCCUAACUAGUUUUUUGGGAGCCGGCAGCGGAAGGGGCUGCGUACGCCCGUAAGGGUAACGCAAUAACCUGAAGAAUGGCACCCACCUGCGAUGAGCAGGUUCAAAACCUCUACGGCCUUAUCCCAGGGUUUUU